Molecule: long non-coding RNA, 209 nt
Filed under: Dasypus novemcinctus (nine-banded armadillo)
Lineage: Eukaryota; Metazoa; Chordata; Mammalia; Cingulata; Dasypodidae
Description: ST7 overlapping transcript 4 conserved region 1 (ENSDNOG00000040057.1)
Rfam family: ST7 overlapping transcript 4 conserved region 1
Source: RNAcentral
CCCGCUUCUUUCAUACCCACAGUUGUAAUUGGAGAUGGUAAUUAGAACAGGAUCUUAAAACACAUGUUGCCAGCCAAAUGAAUCAUUAAAAAAAACCCAACACAACCACAAAGAAAAGUCACGACAGUAACAAUCUAGUAGCGACUCAGAUACACAAGGUGUGUUUUGAAGGAAGGAUACAGUACUAUUUGGAAUCUGGAAAUAGGUAU